CCGGAAGUGCCUGUCGCUUGGAGACGGAGUGACUCCAAACGGGCUCACACGGUUUUCUGAGAAACAUAAAGGGAAACCGAAUCCACCAAUAUAUAUAUAUAUUUUCUUGAGACGGCGUCUCGCUCUGUCACCCAGGCUGGAGUGCAGUGGCGUGAUCUCGGCUCACUGCAAACUCCGCCUCCCGGGUUGACGCCAUUCUUCUGCCUCAGCCUCCCGAGUAGCUGGGACUACAGGCGCCCGCCGCCACGCCCGGCUAAUUUUUUUGUAUUUUAGUAGAGACGGGGAGUCACCGUGUUGCCCAGGCUGGUCGCGAACUCCUGAGCUCAGGCAAUCCGCCCGCCUUGGCCUCCCAAAGUGCUAGGAUUACAGGCGUGAGCCACCGCGCCCGGCCCACCAAUACUCAAUUGGUUUGACUUCAGUUGAGGAAACCAGAAAAAAUUUAAAUAUAUUUAUGGAAAGAAGCUAUUGGGAGAGUGGCUGAGUACUGAGUCUAUCACUACUUGGAUGAUACAGAAACGGGGUCUCACUGUGUUUCCCAGGCUGGUCUCAAACUCCUGGGCUCAAGCAAUUUUCCUGCCUUGGCCUCCUGAAGCUCUGGGAUUACAGGUAUGAGCCACUGCACCUGGCCUAUUUCUGCUGCAUUCUGUUGGCUACAGGCAAAUUACAAGUCCACCCAGGUUCAAGGAGCUGGUGUCGACCUCAACUCUCAUGGGAGAAAUAUAUAGCAGGCACACUGUGGAAGAGAAUGUGUGAUAGGAGAUACUGUUUUGGCCAUGUUUGGGAUUACCACGGUCUGCCCUCUGGCUGUAACAAUUCACAUCCCCCCCAUGCAAAGUACAGCCAUCUCCUCCCCCAAGAUCCCAAUGUCUCAUCCCGUUAUAAUAUCAGAUUGAAGACCAGGAUCUCAUCGUCAAACUCUGCUACAGGUGCAGAUGGGACUCUUGAGGAUGCAGUUCCUGAGGUGCUAUUUCUCCCAAUCUGAAUGCCUGUGAAAUAUGAGACAAGUUAUUUUCAUCUUACACACCCAGAACGUAACAGUGGGGCAGACACAGAAAAACUGUUACCAAUACUCCUAUUCAAAAAUGGGGACAAGAGGAGGCACAGAGUAGUCACUGUUCCAUAGAAAUCCAUAAAUCCUACUGGGUACCCAUUACCAGUUCGGUGAUUAGGGUUUGGUUCUGCUUUCUUGGACUUCUCCUCCAUGGCUCUUUGCUCUACCCUCUGGAUCUUAGUUCUGCUCUCUGAGUCAUCCAUGGUUUUUCAUAAAAUGUGACCAUGUUUGCAAGUGAGUAUCCUUCUCAACCUCCUUCCUGAGCAAAAAGGUUGAGAGUUCAAAUAUCUUUUUUUAUACAGUUUGUCCUUAUCUGUAAAGUUAGCAUCACUGUUUUUAAGAACGUGUGGGAUUUUUAGCUAUCUGUGUACAACCCAUUCCAUUAGACAAAAGCCACACCCCAAAAAUCUCUUAAUAAGACUUUCUCUACUAUGGGCUCUCAGUGGGCCUUUUGUGGGACCUCACCCUUAAAAUUCUUAGCAGUUCUGUUGCUUAUGAGAGAGGGCUCACAGAAGCAUUCUCUCAAGUCCUUAGAAGUCCUUUUUGUUUAUUCAUUGAAGGGGGUCAGGAGGCACCGCUUCAGAUCUUUCUGGAAUCUUACAUAAGGGUAUUAUAGCCAGCCUUGGAUUACAUCUUUUCCCUGAGGAGCUUUCGUACUUUGAGAAUGCUUUACAAGCUGAAAAGACUGUUUACCAUUUCCUCCAUGGAAUGGUUCAUUUUUUAGUUCUCUUUCCUCUCAUUUUAUUAUAAGCAAUGAGGAGCCAGGUAGCAUCCUGAACACUGGGUCUAGAAAACACUUAGCUCUAUCACUGAGGUCAUGAGGUACAUCUUCUAUUUUCCAUUUACAUUAGGUGACAGUGUUGAUACACCUGUCACUACAUAAAAAAGUCUCAUUUUCUCCAUGUUUCAAUAAUGCUUUCCUUGUGUUCCUUCAAGCUCUCACCAGCAACCUCCUUGAUGACUUUUAGACUCUGCUAAUACCAUCCCCAAAGCCCACUGGGUUUUACUGAUAUUUUACUCAAGGGCCUUUCAGAUUCUGCUCAUCAUCCAGUGCCAAGGCCAGUGAUGCAUGUAAGUAGAACCCCACUUCCAACACUAAAUUUCUAUUCCAAUCACUACUGUAGUCUAACGUAUCACCUCAAAACAUUAUAGCACAAAUAGCAACAAAGACGUUAUUAUUUCUGAUGGUUCCUGUUUGUCAGGGAUUCAGGAGAGGUCUGACUGAGCCGUUCUGGGUCAGAAUUUCUCAUGGAGCCAGAAAGGCAUGGAACGGGAGCAUAUGGGGCUGAACAAGCAUCUCUUUAUGUAAUCUCAGAGCCUCUCUAUGUGGUUUCUCUAUAUGGAUUAUUUGAGAUUUCCUCCUAGUACUGCAGCUUCAAGGACUGCUUACAUGGCAAAUGAAGGAUCUCUGCAAUCAAGGCAGAAGCCGCAUGGCUUUUUAUAUCCUGCGAAGUUACAUGAUCACUUCCUCCACAUUCUUUUGGCUACAAGUGACUCACAAGCCAACAAAACUCAAAGGAUGGGGCAAGACUAUAAGUGGGAGGAGUGGCAAGAUCACACUGUAGAAGAGGAGAUGAGAUGGAAGCUACUGUCAUAGCCCACUUCAGAAAAUAAAAUCUGCCACAUAUGUAAAACAUGGUUGAUUAUUGUAAUUUCCUAUGGUUCAACCUCAUAUACAAAUGUAUGGCGAAAGAGACCUGGAUUUCAUUUACUCAGAAAAUUUUCAUAUAUUAGAUUGACCUGUAUUUAUUUUUUCUUCUACUGUCUCUAUCCUGAUUUGGUGUAAAGGUUAUAAAAGAAUUUCUAGGUGAAUUUGGAAGUAAUCUAUAUUUUAAAAAUUCUCUAAUACUGCUUACAUAAUGAUAAUCAAGUCCUUAAUGUUUGCUAAAAUUUUAUUGGACAUCCAUCUGGGCUUUGCUAUAUUUCACUGAGGGAAGCUUUUGAUACUCCAAUUCAAUUUUGUUAUUUAUUGUUGAUUUUAUUCAGUCUUGCUUUUUCUGCUUUGGUCAGUUUUGAUAAUGUGCAGUAUUCUAGAAAACUGAAAAAUGUGUUAUCUAUUUUUAUUUGACUGGCGUAUGGUUAUCCUUAGUAUUCUCCCAUAAUUUUUUAAAAUCUAAACUGUUGUAUAGCCCCUGUUCAUCAAAUACUAGUUACAAGUACAUUCUCACGAAUGCUCUUGAAUCUUUCACCCAAACAGAAAAUUAAAAAUAACUUGAAGCCUCUACUUAGUGUUCCCUUUUUCCAACUCACUGCUUCUUCCACAGGGUGUAGACACUAUCCUAAAGAUUUUGAUUAUCAUUUUCUAGCUUUUUUUCCCCGUUGUUUUGUCACAUAAACACAUAUGCCUAAACAAUAUAUAACUCCAUUUUGCUUUAUCUUGGCCUUUAACAAAGAUGUUAUACUACAUACAGUAUUUGGGGAAUAACAUUUAUCACUAUUAAAUGUCUAGGACUUGAACAUAUUGAUGAUUCAAUUUGUUCAAGCUUGUUCAAUUUAUUCAGUUUAUUUCAUAGUUGCAUAUUUUAUCAACUGGAUAAUAGUCUCUUUAUUCUUUUACAUCUUUAUCAGAUUUAUUUUGUUUUAAUUAAAUUUGUAUUGAGAUAGUUUCACCUAGAGUAUACAAAAUAAUGCAGAGAUCCCUUAUACACUUUUCCCAGUUUCCCCCAAUGCUAACAUUUUGCAACACUACAGUAUAUCACAGCCAGAAUACUGACACACAAUACUUAACAUUUCCCCAGUUUUACUUAUACUUUGUAUGUGUGUAUAUUAAGUUCUGUUCAAUGUUAUCACCAGUGUAGGUUCAUGUAUCAACAACCACCUUCAAGAUGCUGAACAGUUCCAACACCAUAAGAUUUGUAUCUAUUUUGUAUUUUGAUGCCACUGAAAAUUGAUUCAAUUUGUUAAAUCCCAUUUUAUAUUAUUUUUCUGAUAUAUAGAAAUAAAAUUGAUUUGAAUAUACUGACAUCCAAUAAUUUUGCAAAAUUCAGUUUUUCUUUUUAAUGACUUUAAUUUUUUGUGUGUGACAGGGUCUCACU
This 4086-nucleotide long non-coding RNA is filed under the name Homo sapiens (human). RNAcentral describes it as "HSALNT0197905". The record is from RNAcentral. Lineage: Eukaryota; Metazoa; Chordata; Mammalia; Primates; Hominidae.